CGGCAACAGCUCAAAUUUGAAAUCUGGCCUUUGGCCCGAGUUGUAAUUUGUAGAGGAUGCUUUUGGUGCGGUGCCUUCCGAGUUCCCUGGAACGGGACGCCUUAGAGGGUGAGAAUCCCGUAUGUGACUGGAUACCUAUGCUCAUGUGAAGCUCUUUCGAC
This 161-nucleotide ribosomal RNA is filed under the name Orbiliaceae sp. Its description in RNAcentral is "partial large subunit ribosomal RNA". It matches the Rfam family "Eukaryotic large subunit ribosomal RNA", at positions 99 to 261 of the family's 3401-position model. Lineage: Eukaryota; Fungi; Ascomycota; Orbiliomycetes; Orbiliales; Orbiliaceae. The record is from RNAcentral.